This 1889-nucleotide long non-coding RNA is filed under the name Oncorhynchus kisutch (coho salmon). RNAcentral describes it as "lncRNA (ENSOKIG00005039883.1)". Lineage: Eukaryota; Metazoa; Chordata; Actinopteri; Salmoniformes; Salmonidae. The record is from RNAcentral.
AUGGCCUUGGUUGGGGCGAGGCAGACACUGCCUCGGUGUGUCAGGGCCUUGGUUGGGGCGAGGCAGACACUGCCUCGGGUGUCAGGGACUUGGUUGGGGCGAGGCAGACACUGCCUCGGGUGUCAGGGCCUUGGUUGGGGCGAGGCAGACACUGCCUCGGGUGUCAGGGACUUGGUUGGGGCGAGGCAGACACUGCCUCGGGUGUCAGGGACUUGGUUGGGGCGAGGCAGACACUGCCUCGGGUGUCAGGGCCUUGGUUGGGGUGAGGCAGACACUGCCUCGGGUGUCAGGGCCUUGGUUGGGGUGAGGCAGACACUGCCUCGGGUGUCAGGGCCUUGGUUGGGUGAGGCAGACACUGCCUCGGGUGUCAGGGCAGGUGACAUCACUUUGUUCCACGGUGGAAAAUGUUUACUAGCUAGCUACCUCACACCUGCAACACUUCCUCCAUCGCUCUUCCCUCCAUAUCUCUUCUUCCAUCUCUCUUCCUCUUUCCCUCAUCUCUCCUCCUCUUCCUCCAUCUCUCCUCCUCUUCCUCCAUCUCUCCUCCUCUUCCUCCAUCUCUCAUUCACUGGGUCUGAUUUAGCUUCUCUCCUCUUUUAUCUAUUCUUCUUUUUUUGAUCUCCUCAUUUCCAACUAACUUUUCCUACUUCUCAUCUCCUUCCUCCUUUUCCUCUUUCAUUCUACUCCUUCUUUCUUCCCCUCCUCCUCCUCCUCCUCCUCCUCCUCCUCUUUUUUCUCCCCCUCCUCAUCUUCUUUCUCCUCCUCUCCUCUUCUUUCUCCCCCUCCUCUCCUUCUUUCUCUCCUCCUCCUCUUCUUUCUCCCCCUCCUCUCCUUCUUUCUCCUCCUCCUCCUCUUCUUUCUCUCCCCUCCUCUCCUUCUUUCUCUCCUCCUCCUCCUCUUCUUUCUCCCCCCUCCUCCUUCCUUCUUUCUCCUCAUCCUCCUCCUCUUCUUUCUCCUUCUUUUCCUCUUCUCCUUCUUCUUCCUCCUGUUCUCUCUUUCUUCCUCCUCCUGUUCCCCUCCUUCUUCCUCCUCCUCCUCUUCUUCUCCUUCCUUCUGCUCUUCCCCCAACACAGUCUUGUUCUCCAUUUUGGUUCUCCACAUCCCCUUUAUCUUUGACAUCCUCCUCUCCUCUAUCUUCUUCUGCCUCCUCUUCAACAUGGUCCUCCUCCACCUCUUCAACAUGGUUCUCCUCCACCUCUUCAACAUGGUCCUCCUCCUCCUCUUCAACAUUGUCCUCCUCCUCCUCCUCCUCCUCUUCAACAUGGUCGUCCUCCUCCACUUCUUCAACAUGGUCCUCCUCCUCCCCUUCAACAUGGUCUUCUUCCUCCUCCUCUUCAACAUGGUCUUCCUCCUCUUCAACAUGGUCCUCUAUCUCCUCUUCAACAUGGUCCGCCUCCUCCUCUUCAACAUGGUCCUCCUCCUCUUCAACACAGUUCCCCCUCCACCUCUUCAACAUGGUUCUCCUCCUCCUCCUCAACAUGGUUCUCCUCCUCCUCCUCCUCAACAUGGUUAUCCUCCACCUCUUCAACAUGGUUCUCCUCCUCAAGAUGGUUCUCCUCCUCCUCCUCAACAUGGUUCUCCUCUUCCACUUCAACAUGGUUCUCCUCCUCUUCAACAUGGUUCUCCUCCUCCUCCUCUUCAACAUGGUUCUCCUCUUCCACUUCAACAUGGUUCUCCUCCACCUCUUCAACAUGGUUCUCCUUUGAAUUGUCCUGGUUUCCGUUCUCCUGUCUGACCAUGUGUUGGGACCCGUUGAGUUGUUGUAUGUGGUUGUGGUUUGGCUCCACAUCUUCCAGUGCCAGCUCAAACUGGGAGGAUAAAGAGAAGACAGUAGAUUGAUAGUUAGUUAUAUAGAUGGUCAUUGAUAAAGAGAAGACAGUAGAUUGAUA